UCAGGAUGAACGCUGGCGGCGUGCUUAACACAUGCAAGUCGAACGAUGAUCCCAGCUUGCUGGGGGAUUAGUGGCGAACGGGUGAGUAACACGUGAGUAACCUGCCCUUAACUCUGGGAUAAGCCUGGGAAACUGGGUCUAAUACCGGAUAUGACUCCUCAUCGCAUGGUGGGGGGUGGAAAGCUUUAUUGUGGUUUUGGAUGGACUCGCGGCCUAUCAGCUUGUUGGUGAGGUAAUGGCUCACCAAGGCGACGACGGGUAGCCGGCCUGAGAGGGUGACCGGCCACACUGGGACUGAGACACGGCCCAGACUCCUACGGGAGGCAGCAGUGGGGAAUAUUGCACAAUGGGCGAAAGCCUGAUGCAGCGACGCCGCGUGAGGGAUGACGGCCUUCGGGUU
Molecule: ribosomal RNA, 400 nt
Filed under: soil bacterium 01G-11
Lineage: Bacteria
Description: bacterial SSU rRNA
Rfam family: Bacterial small subunit ribosomal RNA
Source: RNAcentral